RNAcentral lists this ribosomal RNA (433 nucleotides) under uncultured bacterium. RNAcentral describes it as "partial 16S ribosomal RNA". It matches the Rfam family "Bacterial small subunit ribosomal RNA", at positions 29 to 507 of the family's 1533-position model. The record is from RNAcentral.
AACGAACGCUGGCGGCAUGCCUAACACAUGCAAGUCGAACGAUGCUUUCGGGCAUAGUGGCGCACGGGUGCGUAGCGCGUGGGAAUCUGCCCUUGGGUUCGGAAUAACAGUGAGAAAUUGCUGCUAAUACCGGAUGAUGUCUUCGGACCAAAGAUUUAUCGCCCAGGGAUGAGCCCGCGUAGGAUUAGCUAGUUGGUGGGGUAAUGGCCUACCAAGGCGACGAUCCUUAGCUGGUCUGAGAGGAUGAUCAGCCACACUGGGACUGAGACACGGCCCAGACUCCUACGGGAGGCAGCAGUGGGGAAUAUUGGACAAUGGGCGCAAGCCUGAUCCAGCAAUGCCGCGUGAGUGAUGAAGGCCUUAGGGUUGUAAAGCUCUUUUACCCGGGAUGAUAAUGACAGUACCGGGAGAAUAAGCUCCGGCUAACUCCGUG